CUGACUGCGGCCUGUUCACUUUAUUCUCCUCGUGCCAGGAAGGAAGGGACUUAACUGGGUUGGCCAAGGUGGUCAAUCCUGAUCACCAGGGGGGAAUUGGGCUAUCACCCCAAAGUAGAGGUAAAGAAAAAUAUAUCCGGAAACUUUAGAGCAUCUCUUAGUAUCAUCAUGCCCUAGAUUGGUAGGACUUCUAAAUUUCACAUAAGCCUGGAUGUUAUACACCUCAGUGGUCCAGCAAAUCUAGCAGUAUGUCGUAUGUGUUCGAAUAUGUAGAAAAUGUGUCUGUAAGCCUGAUGCAUGAGAAUAGAGCAGGAUCUGCUAAAAAUACAGCAUCCGGUGCUGCCUCUCCACUUGUAAUAGAGGCCUGGCCAGCAGUGAACAGAAGUUGUCGAUGCAAAAUGAGCCGUGAAAAGCAAAUGAGAGAAAGGAAAAUGACGGUGACCAUAACGUGCAAGUGUUGUGCUAUCUAGGAGAAAAACAGAAGAGAAUAAAAAGAGAUACUAAAAGUAAACUGAGAUAUGAGUGAUAGUCGAAGGAUUCCAACAAGAAAAACAGAAGUCCCUCUCCCAGUAUUUUCAAACACCCAGUAAUAAUUCCAAAGUCUUUAAGUUACUAUUUCUUCUAAUUUUUCACUAUGAGCUUUUAAAUAUUAUAAUUACGCAAUCAACCCUUUGUUAAUCAAAUUUAUUCUCUAUUCUUUCUUUUUAUUAAAGAUGGGUAUGUAGGAUUCUUACACCUCUAUCCCCAAUUUCACUUCUCACUUGUUCAUAUUAUAGGUGAAGCAUAAAUCUUUUAUAAUAAUCAAUAUUCCAACUCCGCAUAUUUAUGUCUACCAAUAUUGUCCACUGUCGAAUUUUUCCAGUGUAGCUCUGACUUUAACAACUGUCACACUUAUGGUUUGCUUACUUUCGUAGGUAUUUAUUACUAGUUGUUUCCACACUAUAUAUAAUCACCAUUAAACCUAUUUUGAUUCAUUUUAUUGAAGGUGUUGUUGAAUUUUGUCUUCUGGUGCUUUCUGUUCACCACUUCUGUAUAAUAACCCUAGAAAUUCUUAGAUUCUUGGUGCUUGCUAUUUAUAUUCAUUUCCACCCCCCAUCACAUGUUCAUACUUUUUGUUUGUUCUAUUAUUUUUAGUAAAUUGUAUCCUUAUGUUGCCUCUUUACAAAUGCUGCACAUAUGAAUUGAGAGCAUGUAAGGUUACGAAAGUCUUUUUUCUACCUACAAACUCGAUGGGGGCUUUUGGUGUUUCACUUGCUCGCUCUUUUUGUGGAUGCCCAUUGUCACACUGAGGAAGCUUCCUUACAUUUCUAGCCCAUGAUCAAUUUUAUUAUGAAGAGAUAGUAAUUUUAUCAAAUUAUUAUUCUGUAUAUACAUAGAUAAUCAAAUGUUUCUGUUUUUCCUGUUG
This 1405-nucleotide long non-coding RNA is filed under the name Vulpes vulpes (red fox). RNAcentral's name for it is "lncRNA (ENSVVUG00000030315.1)". The record is from RNAcentral. Lineage: Eukaryota; Metazoa; Chordata; Mammalia; Carnivora; Canidae.